GAUGAAGAACGUAGCGAAAUGCGAUAAGUAAUGUGAAUUGCAGAAUUCAGUGAAUCAUCGAAUCUUUGAACGCACAUUGCGCCCGCCAGCAUUCUGGCGGGCAUGCCUGAUCGAGCGUCAUUUCAACCCUCGAGCCCCCCCGGGGGCCUCGGUGUUGGGGGACGGCACACCAGCCGCCCCCGAAAUGCAGUGGCGACCCCGCCGCAGCCUCCCCUGCGUAGUAGCACACACCUCGCACCGGAGCGCGGAGGCGGUCACGCCGUAAAACGCCCAACUUUUAAGAGUUGACCUCGAAUCAGGUAGGAAUACCCGCUGAACUUAAGCAUAUCAAUAAGCGGAGGA
Molecule: unclassified non-coding RNA, 342 nt
Filed under: soil metagenome
Description: partial contains 5.8S ribosomal RNA, internal transcribed spacer 2, and large subunit ribosomal RNA
Rfam family: 5.8S ribosomal RNA (bases 1-120)
Source: RNAcentral